GAAAUGCGAUAACUAGUGUGAAUUGCAGAAUUCCGUGAAUCAUCGAGUCUUUGAACGCACAUUGCGCCCCCUGGUAUUCCGGGGGACAUGCCUGUCCGAGCGUCAUUGCUGCCCAUCAAGCACGGCUUGUGUGUUGGGUCGUCGUCCCCUCUCCGGGGGGGACGGGCCCCAAAGGCAGCGGCGGCACCGCGUCCGAUCCUCGAGCGUAUGGGGCUUUGUCACCCGCUCUGUAGGCCCGGCCGGCGCUUGCCGAACGCAAAUCAAUCUUUUUCCAGGUUGACCUCGGAUCAGGUAGGGAUACCCGCUGAACUUAAGC
This 316-nucleotide unclassified non-coding RNA is filed under the name plant metagenome. RNAcentral's name for it is "partial contains 5.8S ribosomal RNA, internal transcribed spacer 2, and large subunit ribosomal RNA". The stretch from base 1 to 105 matches the Rfam family "5.8S ribosomal RNA", at positions 50 to 154 of the family's 154-position model. The record is from RNAcentral.